This 1085-nucleotide long non-coding RNA is filed under the name Zea mays. RNAcentral describes it as "long non-coding RNA (ZMAY_LNC003361)". Lineage: Eukaryota; Viridiplantae; Streptophyta; Magnoliopsida; Poales; Poaceae. The record is from RNAcentral.
GGGCCACCACCAGCAUCUGCGGCAGGGAGAAUCGCGUUGGUUCGACGCAAACGCUACCCGGCGCCCCCUUGCCCUUGGGGCCGGCUAUUUUACCGCACCCGUUCUCCCCUCUCUACCGCAGAUCAGAUCACACUCGUAGAGAGAAGGAAAAAUAUCCCCAAACCCUAGCUCCCGAUCUCGAUGGCGAACCCUCGCGUCUUCUUCGACAUGACCGUCGGCGGCGCCCCGGCGGGCCGGAUCGUGAUGGAGCUGUACGCCAACGAGGUGCCCAAGACCGCGGAGAACUUCCGCGCGCUGUGCACGGGCGAGAAGGGCGUGGGCAAGUCCGGGAAGCCGCUCCACUACAAGGGCUCCACCUUCCACCGCGUCAUCCCCGAGUUCAUGUGCCAGGGCGGCGACUUCACCCGCGGCAACGGCACCGGCGGCGAGUCCAUCUACGGCGAGAAGUUCCCCGACGAGAAGUUCGUGCGCAAGCACACCGCCCCCGGUGUGCUCUCCAUGGCCAACGCCGGGCCCAACACCAACGGCUCCCAGUUCUUCAUCUGCACCGUCGCGACCCCUUGGCUCGACGGCAAGCACGUCGUCUUCGGCCAGGUCGUCGAGGGCAUGGACGUCGUCAAGGCCAUCGAGAAGGUGGGCACCCGCAACGGCUCCACCUCCAAGGUGGUCAAGGUCGCUGACUGCGGACAGCUCUCCUAGAUCUCUCUGAUCUGGUCUGUUCGGCCGCCCUCCCUCCGUCAUCGUCGACUCCCCCUGCGUCCGUUCCUUUGGAUCUGAAUAAGAUGGUGGUGAUCUGAGUGGUGGUCUUAGUUUAUCAUGUAUCGCUCGCAGUUUAAUUUAGCGGUUUAGGUGUGGAUCUGUGAACCCCAUGGCGCCUCUGCUUGAUUCGUGUUUCACCUGUUAUGUUCUGAGAUUCAUGAUAAUGCUAUGAGAACUGAAAUUCCCGUUUCAUGCUUCUUAAAUCUUUGACCUCUGCGGUUGUGCCAUACGUUUUUAUUUUCCAUUCCGAGAUCUAGGCCACAAAAUGAUUCUGGUUGUUAGUGUUUUAAUGUGAACUGCCAAGCAUGGAUCACCCAACCUUUGCG